CCCUUAGAUGUUCUGGGCCGCACGCGCGCUACACUGACAGAGCCAGCGAGUUCUUUUUCCUUGGCUGAAAAGUCAUGGGUAAUCUUGUGAAACUCUGUCGUGCUGGGGAUAGAGCAUUGCAAUUAUUGCUCUUCAACGAGGAAUUCCUAGUAAGCGUAAGUCAUCAGCUUGCGUUGAUUACGUCCCUGCCCUUUGUACACACCGCCCGUCGCUACUACUGAUUGGAUGUUUAAGCGAGGUUCUCGAACUGCUAGCGACUUAGCUUCGGUGAGGUCGCAGUGUGGGAAGUGAACCUAGCUUUGGUGUCUAGAGGAAGUAAAAGUCGUAACA
This 330-nucleotide ribosomal RNA is filed under the name uncultured eukaryote. RNAcentral's name for it is "partial 18S ribosomal RNA". It matches the Rfam family "Eukaryotic small subunit ribosomal RNA", at positions 1470 to 1796 of the family's 1831-position model. The record is from RNAcentral.